RNAcentral lists this ribosomal RNA (371 nucleotides) under uncultured organism. RNAcentral's name for it is "partial 16S ribosomal RNA". It matches the Rfam family "Bacterial small subunit ribosomal RNA", at positions 527 to 896 of the family's 1533-position model. The record is from RNAcentral.
GUAGGUGGCAAGCGUUGUCCGGAAUUAUUGGGCGUAAAGCGCGCGCAGGCGGUUCUUUAAGUCUGAUGUGAAAGCCCACGGCUCAACCGUGGAGGGUCAUUGGAAACUGGAGAACUUGAGUACAGAAGAGGAAAGCGGAAUUCCACGUGUAGCGGUGAAAUGCGUAGAGAUGUGGAGGAACACCAGUGGCGAAGGCGGCUUUCAGGUCUGUAACUGACGCUGAGGCGCGAAAGCGUGGGGAGCAAACAGGAUUAGAUACCCUGGUAGUCCACGCCGUAAACGAUGAGUGCUAAGUGUUAGGGGUUUCCGCCCCCCUUAGUGCUGCAGCUAACGCAUUAAGCACUCCGCCUGGGAGUACGGCCGCAAGGCUG